UAUGACAGAAUUUUCAUUUUUGAGCGAAAUAACCCUUUAAUUUGCAAUACAAUUGUUUUUUGCCAUUGUUUUUGUCUCAAGCAUUCAUUCCUUGAUCGGUUUUGAAUAUGCUUUCAAACAACAGACGCUUUGCAUUGACUGUUCAUGCUUCACUGCUCUGAGAGUGUUUAUAGACCUCUGAGUUUACAGACUAAAAGAUAUUGUUUGACAACAAACAAUAACCUCACAAACUGCCUUACAACAAUGAUCUAUAUAAUUAUUUGGUCCCUGUACUACACGCAAGGUUCUGUGGGUCAGGUUGUGACUCAGUCUGGAAAUCAGACAGUGGAGCCUGGUCAAACUGUCACUAUUGAAUGUAAACACACACCAGGAAUUAAUUGCUGGAAAGCAGAUGAGAAAAAGUACUGUAUCUCCUGGUUUCACCAGAUUCCUGGCGAAGCUCCUAAACUCCUGAUCUAUCUCACAUCAAAGAGAGCUUCAGGAGUUUCCUCUAGAUUUAAUGGCAGUGAGAGUGGAAACCACAUUGAUUACACUUUGACCAUCAGUGAAGUUCAGCCUGAAGAUUCAGGAGAUUAUUACUGUAUGGGCAAAUAUGACAUUAUACCUGGGGAGAAAACACAUUGGGUGUUCACACAGUGUUACAGCGUCAUACAAAAACCUCUCCUGUAAAGACUGCACUGCUUUCUCAUUGGAGAUGUAUUUAGUUCUGGUGAGCUGUUGCUGUUACUUUGUUUUUCAAAUAUAGUUUAUUUGGAAUUUUGAUUAAAAAUGUAAUGAAAUUGUGAUGCAUAUUCCUAGUUAUUCUAGGUGGCCAUUUUUAUAUCAGGCAACUGAAAAGAAACACUAAUUUAAGCACAUAAAACUGAAUU
Molecule: non-coding RNA, 869 nt
Organism: Triplophysa rosa
Lineage: Eukaryota; Metazoa; Chordata; Actinopteri; Cypriniformes; Nemacheilidae
Source: the annotation of a RefSeq genome assembly